AACGAACGCUGGCGGCGUGUCUUAAGCAUGCAAGUUGAGCGGCAAGGGGUAGCAAUACCCCCCUAGAGCGGCGGACUGGUGAGUAACGCGUGGGUGAUCUGCCCUUGGGAUGGGGGAUAGCCUCUAGAAAUAGAGGGUAAUACCGAAUACGUUCGCAGGGUUGCGGCCUUGCGAGGAAAAGCGCUUCGGCGCUGCCCGAGGAUGAGCCCGCGUCCCAUUAGCUAGUUGGUGAGGUAACGGCCCACCAAGGCGAUGAUGGGUAGGCGGCCUGAGAGGGUGUACGCCCACACUGGGACUGAGAUACGGCCCAGACUCCUACGGGAGGCUG
RNAcentral lists this ribosomal RNA (328 nucleotides) under uncultured Spirochaetota bacterium. RNAcentral's name for it is "bacterial SSU rRNA". It matches the Rfam family "Bacterial small subunit ribosomal RNA", at positions 28 to 351 of the family's 1533-position model. Lineage: Bacteria; Pseudomonadati; Spirochaetota. The record is from RNAcentral.